Molecule: ribosomal RNA, 253 nt
Filed under: uncultured bacterium
Lineage: Bacteria
Description: partial 16S ribosomal RNA
Rfam family: Bacterial small subunit ribosomal RNA
Source: RNAcentral
UACGUAGGGGGCAAGCGUUGUCCGGAAUCAUUGGACGUAAAGAGCGUGUAGGCGGCUCGAUAAGUCCGCUGUGAAAGUCCAGGGCUCAACCCUGGAAGGCCGGUGGAAACUGUCGGGCUAGAGUCCGGAAGAGGCGAGUGGAAUUCCCGGUGUAGCGGUGAAAUGCGCAGAUAUCGGGAGGAACACCAAUGGCGAAGGCAGCUCGCUGGGACGGUACUGACGCUGAGACGCGAAAGCGUGGGGAGCAAACAGG